This 1419-nucleotide long non-coding RNA is filed under the name Triticum aestivum (bread wheat). RNAcentral's name for it is "long non-coding RNA (TAES_LNC015982)". Lineage: Eukaryota; Viridiplantae; Streptophyta; Magnoliopsida; Poales; Poaceae. The record is from RNAcentral.
AUCGGUCUCGUAGUCUACCGAAGAGAAGAGGGGGAAGAAACAAUAAACACGAUGCAAACAUAAGCAUGACGAUGCAUGACAUGAAAUUGAGCGUUGCUAGGUGUGCCCUAACGCGGUAGUAGGUGAUACCGGCGAAAGGAGGAAACAUCCAAGAAACUUUCAUGUACAAAGUAUUUUCAUACGAGCUACGGAUUAUUUUAUAUUAAUUUAAAAAGAUUUAAUCCAUUUUUAAAAUUAACAGAAUUAAUUUAAUUAGAAAAAAAUGUAAUUAUGACGUCAACAUGAUGUCAACAUGAUGUCAUCAGUCAACCGUCUGUUGACUGGGUCAACAGACGCGUGGGUCACAAUUGUCAUUGACUAAGACUAACUAAUCACGAUUAAUUAGUUUAAUUAAGUGGUUAGGUUAAUAAAACAAAAUUAGUUAAGUUAAUUAAUUCUUUAAUUAAUAAAUAAAUAUUUUUAACUUAGUUUUUUAUUCUUUUAAUUUCCCUUUUUUUAAGUUCUGGGGCUUGGUGCCCCCUAGUCAGUGGCUAUGGGGGAGGCUAAUGGGCGCGCAGGUGACGGGUUACGGGCGCGGUUUGAGCGCCCGAAUGGGCGCUGCGGGGCAAGGCCACAAGGGCGCAACAGAGGCUGUGGGGCGUGCGCGACCGGAUGCGCCAAUGGUGGGACGGCUGAAGCGGGAGCAGGGCGCGGCCCGGGCGAGCCGUGAGGCGCCGGAGCGCGCAAGCAGGUGCGGGACAGGGGCGGCAGGGGCCAGCGCCAGCCGGAGGCUGGGCCAGGGCGGGCUGCAGAGGGGCUUGGGCCCGGCUGAAGCUCGGCGUGGGUGCGGGGCGAACACGGCGCGAGCGGCGAGGCCAGGAAGCGGCAUGGUGAGCGUGAGCGGGAGCACGAGGCACGACAACGUUUACAGGGGAUGCUGUCGGGCGCAACGGCGCGAUGGUGAGUGGGUGCGAGGGCGCAUCACUAACACGAACGGGAGCAGAGGAGGAGAAUGGAGGAGGCGAGGUGCUCACGUGCGACGUGAGAAGGGGAGGCGUCGAGGCUUGACGCGGUCCGGCGGGGAGGAGGACGAGGACGAGCGACGAAGGAGAGGCGGGGAAGCGGUGAGCGACGGCGUCGGGGGCUGCUCCGGGGCGACGUGGCAGCGGCAGGGUGGCACCGGCGAUGUGGUGGUGGUCGGCGACGGCGUCAGGGCGCUCGAGGCGGGGUCUUCGGCCGUGCAGGUCGAAGGAGGAGGCGGCGAUGUAAGUGGGGUCAGAGGUGAGGAGCUCACUCACCAGAGCAGCGGCAGGGCGACAGAGGUGGUCGGAGCUGGGCAAGGAGGGUGCGUGUGAGCGGUAUCUGGGUGCGGGGUCUCUCGCUCCUCUCUGCUCUCUUUCUGGCGGCGCGAGGAGGGACGAGGGGAUCGAUCGGGUCAAG